GAAAGCCUUUAGAAGGCAGGGCUCCCUAAGGAGAGAUGUGACCGUGGAAGGCUUUCUAGAAGAGUUGGAACCUGAACUACAUCUUGAAAGAUUUUGACAUGGGAAGUUGAUACCAGCAACUGAAAAGCAGAACAAAAACACUUGGAUCGUAGGCUAACUCCUAAAAGAUUGAUCCCUGGUGCUGAUACAGGUAUGGACAUCCUGACUUGCUAUUUCUGGGUAUCUGCACGAGGAAUGGCAGCUGGAUCAGAGUGGCCUGGACUGCGGGCAGUCUUUAGUUUUAUUAGGAACACAGGGCCAGAUCAAUAAUCAAUUAGAGUUGGCAGGGGACCAGGGACUUGGAGCAUAAACAAGUCAUGAAGGGCUAAGAAUUCAGUUCAGCUACAAAGCCUCCUGUAGAAGGACCCAAAGGAUGAGGAGCCAGCAGACUAUUUGGAAUAAGGCAUGUGGCAUGCGGCCUGAGACAGAACAAGAAGUGCCUGAGAGAGAACAAGAAGUUCUUUCACAGAAGGGAGUAGGGACUGCUGGCUAAAAAGGGACCCCAUAAAGCCCACAAAGCCCUUCUGUGAUACAUGCUUUGCUGGAAAGUCUGGCUGGAAAGUGGGAGCAAGGCCAAGAUUCCAUGGAGGCCAGAGGCCUAGACCAAGUCAACCCCACAUUCCCUAAGUCACCUUUCUUUGUGAGCAUGUUCUAUGGAACAAGUCCCAUAGUAAAAUACCAAAAACCUAAGAGUUCAGUUGCACAUGUGUACCUUUUUCCUUUUAUAAAUAUUCAUGACUCCUCCUAUAGCUUAUUAAAUACAUAUAUUCAGCCACCUUGUUCAACAUAAAUUCCUGUCCCCUUUGCCCCUCCCUCAGUUUGUGUUUCUGACUUCUGGCCAGAGGCUGUACUUCCCAGACUGUCAGAAUGGCCACCCUGCAGACUGCAACCCUUUGAGAAAUAAAGCUCUCCUUUCCAAUUUUUAAAAAUAAAAAAACCUGAUGGUAAAGGAAUGAAGCUGCUUUUGUUCUAAUCUGCAUUUCCCAAAAAUGAUUUGACAAUAUAUUUUGUUUGGAGAUGGAGUCUCACUCUGUUGCCCAGGCUGGAGUGUAGUGGCACAAUCUCGGCUCACUGCAAC
This 1117-nucleotide long non-coding RNA is filed under the name Homo sapiens (human). RNAcentral's name for it is "HSALNT0148320". The record is from RNAcentral. Lineage: Eukaryota; Metazoa; Chordata; Mammalia; Primates; Hominidae.